This 903-nucleotide long non-coding RNA is filed under the name Sus scrofa (pig). Its description in RNAcentral is "lncRNA (ENSSSCG00065025419.1)". The record is from RNAcentral. Lineage: Eukaryota; Metazoa; Chordata; Mammalia; Artiodactyla; Suidae.
AUGGCUUUGAGCCUAACAAAGGGUUUAGACUCCUCCGCCUGCCAGAACAGUGAUUCCACCUCUCUUGGAACAGUCAUAUCUGCUGAGAAGUUUAAGGAAGGAACCUUGAGAAAGCAUCAGAGGUGGCUUUGGAGGUGGAAUCUGAAGAAACUAGAGGAGAGAAGAAAGGAAGAAUGGAUUACAAAAGAUGAGCAAGAUGCCUGGAAUUUCACACGUACAUCAUCUCUUUGGGUCACAGAGAAAGCCAUGCUUGAUUAACACUGAGGAUUCGCGUGUGACCUAUGGCUGGUGUCCAAUGACUUCUCCCAUUUUCAGAACACUUCUGUAAUGUUUCCGUCAGUGGUGAAUAUAUGACAUCCAAGGAAAGGUGAGGCCCUGACACUAAGAGGAAUACAAUGACCAGUCCAAGAGGACAACCCAGAACUGGACUUCUGGGGCCUGACUGAACUGGAUUGAGGUAUCGGACACGCUUUUACAGAGGCUAUUUAGGAGGUAGAUUUUAUGAGCCUCAUUUUGCCAAUGAUAACACUAGGGCACAGAGAGGUUCAGCAACCCGCCCAAGGCCACACAGCCAGGAAGGAGCAGGAUCUGACCCCAGGCUGCCUGACUCCGGAGCCCAUGCUUGCAAACAUUCGUAAUCCCUGCUGAAUGAUUUCAGCUCUCCUGCUGUCUUCCCCCACCUCACUGUCUCGCGAUGGACAUUCACAUUUCCCGGCUGGCCCAGAAGCUGCGAUAGGGUGUUAUGAGCUGUUAGCUUAAGAGGGGUGAAGCCCUGUGAAAAGAAAACACACUUGCUCCCCUUCCUCAGCUGCGCUGGUCUUUCCUCCAGCUGAUCUUUCUCCUGUUAUAUAAAUGGAAUGUUAUACAAAUGUUUCCACCAUGAGUUUCCUUUCAAAAGAUGAA